AAGACAUGUGUGGCUUGAUACUGUUUCCAAAGUCCAUCUAGAAAAGAGUGGUAGGCAAUAGUUAUGCUGUAAUAUCAUAUGCAAUUGUAUUUGCAAUCUUGUUCUAAUGGAAUUGUUUCUGGACUAGGUCCCGGAGAUGUAGGUUGUUACCGAACCCCGUUAACAAAUCUCUGCGUGUCUUUACUUUAUGCUUCUUACACUCAUUACACGCUAAUAUCGUACAAACACAUAGACCUAGCACACACAUAGUAACUAUACCUCCAUCCGCCAAUCCUUUUCCGCCACGUCCUCCGAUGGUGAAGGUGAAACUCCACCACCUUCACCCACCACUCCUCUACCAGCUUCACCCAACACUCCUCCACCAGCUUCACCCACCACUCCUCAGCCACAGCCUGAGCCUCUUGUUCCUUCCCCUGAAGUUCCACCAGAGCCCCCAACCAAUGAAGACAACGAACGUACUUCUGUGAUCUUCACUUUCCGUGGUGAAUUCCUCGGUCGAUG
Molecule: long non-coding RNA, 501 nt
Filed under: Arabidopsis thaliana (thale cress)
Lineage: Eukaryota; Viridiplantae; Streptophyta; Magnoliopsida; Brassicales; Brassicaceae
Description: ncRNA (AT4G04895)
Source: RNAcentral